RNAcentral lists this ribosomal RNA (253 nucleotides) under uncultured bacterium. RNAcentral's name for it is "partial 16S ribosomal RNA". It matches the Rfam family "Bacterial small subunit ribosomal RNA", at positions 524 to 776 of the family's 1533-position model. The record is from RNAcentral.
UACGUAGGGCGCAAGCGUUGUCCGGAAUUAUUGGGCCUAAAGCAUCCGUAGCCGGUUCUACAAGUCUUCCGUUAAAUCCACCUGCUUAACAGAUGGGCUGCGGAGGAUACUAUGGAGCUAGGAGGCGGGAGAGGCAAGCGGUACUUAGUGGGUAGGGGUAAAAUCCGUUGAUCCAUUGAAGACCACCAGUGGCGAAGGCGGCUUGCCAGAACGCACUCGACGGUGAGGGAUGAAAGCUGGGGGAGCAAACCGG